Molecule: long non-coding RNA, 887 nt
Filed under: Equus caballus (horse)
Lineage: Eukaryota; Metazoa; Chordata; Mammalia; Perissodactyla; Equidae
Description: lncRNA (ENSECAG00000046651.1)
Source: RNAcentral
UGAACAGAGAGAAUUGUUUCUCCUCUUUUGCCAUGUGUUAAUUUCCUAUUUCUGUGUAACACGUUAUAAACACUUAGCAGCUUAAAACAACACUCAGUCAUUAUCUCAUAGCUCUCUAGGUCAGAAGUCCAGACGGGCUUGGCUGGGUUCUCUGCUCAGGGUCUCACAAGCUAAAGUCAAGGUAUCAGUCAGACUGUACUCUUAUCUGCAGGUUCUGGGGAAGAAUCCACUUCCAAGCUCAUUGAGGUUGUUAACAGAAUUUAGUUCCUGUGGGUGAAGGACUGAGGUCCUUAUUUUCUUUCUGGCCGUCAGCCAGGGGCCACUUUCCACUUCUAGAGGGUAACUGCAUUUCUCCCCUUAUUGCCCCUCCAUCUUCAAGUCAGCAAUAUAUAUGAAAUUCUGCUUGUGCUUCAUAUCUCUCUGACCUCUCCCUCUGCCAUGAGCUGAAGAAAAUUCUUUGCUUUUAAAGGGUUCAUUAGGUUUGAGUUAAGCACACCUGGAUAAUCUUUCCUCUGCCAUAUGAUGCAGCAUAAUACAGCAGCGCUGUCUCAUCAUGUUCAUGGAUUCCACCCACCUUCAAAAGGGAAGGGCCACAAAGCAGUGUGUAGGUCUGCACCCAGGAUCCAAACUGGUGAACCCCAGGCUGCUGAAGAGGAGUGCGAGAACUUACCUGCUUUGCCACCAGGCCAGCGCCAGACAGCAGGCCACUGAGAACAGGACACUGGUCACCCAGAUCCGUGUCCAGAGCCUCAGCCACAGUGCCUCACAAGUCAGUCCUCAAGACAGGCUGACUGAUAUCAGGUCCACGAAGCCUUUUCUUUGGCAUACAUUGAACGGAAGUUACUUCUAUAUGCUCAAAGAACAGAGAAUAAGGAGCAAAAUGCUAC